ACGGGAGGCAGCAGUGAGGGAUAUUGCACAAUGGGGGAAACCCUGAUGCAGCGACGCCGCGUGAGUGAAGAAGUAUUUCGGUAUGUAAAGCUCUAUCAGCAGGGAAGAAAAUGACGGUACCUGACUAAGAAGCCCCGGCUAACUACGUGCCAGCAGCCGCGGUAGUACGUAGGGGGCAAGCGUUAUCCGGAUUUACUGGGUGUAAAGGGAGCGUAGACGGCAUGGCAAGUCUGAAGUGAAAGCUCGGGGCUCAACCCCGGAACUGCUUUGGAAACUGUCAAGCUAGAGUAUCGGAGAGGUAAGCGGAAUUCCUAGUGUAGCGGUGAAAUGCGUAGAUAUUAGGAGGAACACCAGUGGCGAAGGCGGCUUACUGGACGGUAACUGACGUUGAGGCUCGAAAGCGUGGGGAGCAAACAGGAUUAGAUACCCUGGUA
RNAcentral lists this ribosomal RNA (434 nucleotides) under uncultured Clostridium sp. Its description in RNAcentral is "partial 16S ribosomal RNA". It matches the Rfam family "Bacterial small subunit ribosomal RNA", at positions 341 to 792 of the family's 1533-position model. The record is from RNAcentral. Lineage: Bacteria; Bacillati; Bacillota; Clostridia; Eubacteriales; Clostridiaceae.